This 57-nucleotide transfer RNA is filed under the name Bos taurus (domestic cattle). It matches the Rfam family "tRNA", at positions 8 to 63 of the family's 71-position model. Rfam says of the family: Transfer RNA (tRNA) molecules are approximately 80 nucleotides in length. The record is from Rfam by way of RNAcentral. Lineage: Eukaryota; Metazoa; Chordata; Mammalia; Artiodactyla; Bovidae. RNAcentral also lists the same sequence under 5 other names.
UGGCUCAGACAGUAGAGAGUCUGCCUGUAAUGCAGGAGACCCAGGUUCAAUCCCUGG